This 996-nucleotide ribosomal RNA is filed under the name Anoplotrupes stercorosus. Its description in RNAcentral is "partial 16S ribosomal RNA". Lineage: Eukaryota; Metazoa; Arthropoda; Insecta; Coleoptera; Geotrupidae. The record is from RNAcentral.
UAAAUAAAAAUUAUUUAAUUUAAUUUUCUCGAUUUUAAAAGAGCUAAGAAAUUAUUUAUUUUAUUGUAACAUAAAUAUUUAAAAUAAUUUUUUAGUAAUGAAAUGUUAUUCGUUUUUAAAUAUAUCUAGUUGUUUAAGAAAUAAAUUUAAUUUAGUUAUUUAUUUAAUAUUAAUUUAAUUAAUUAAUUUAAUAUAAUAAAUAUUAAAUAUUUUAAGGGAUAAGCUUUAAAAUAAAUUUUUAUAAAAAUAUUUAUUAAUAUAAAAAAAUGUAGAAUUAGAAUUAUUUAUCAUUAAUAGUAUGUUAUAAUUAAUUUUUAUAUAAAUAUAAUUUAUAUAUUUUUUAAAUUUUUUAUUAAACUUAUAUAUAAAAUUAUAUAUUAUAUUUAAUAAUGAUAAAAUUAGUAUAAUUUUUUGUAAAUUUAAUUUAUUUAAUAAAGGUUAAGUAAAGGAAUUCGGCAAAAAUUUUUUCGCCUGUUUAUUAAAAACAUGGCUUUUUGAUAAUAAUUUAAAGUCUGACCUGCCCAAUGAAAUUUGAAUGGCCGCGGUAUAUUGACUGUGCGAAGGUAGCAUAAUAAUUAGUUUUUUAAUUGGAAACUGGUAUGAAUGGUUGGACGAGAAAAAAGCUGUCUCUAUUUAAUUUAAUUAGAAUUUUAUCUUUAAGUAAAAAAGCUUAAAUAUAUUUAAAAGACGAGAAGACCCUAUAGAGUUUUAUAUAAUUAAUAUAUUAAAUUUUGAAGAAUUAAUAUUUUAUUGUUUUAAUUAUAUUUGGUUGGGGUGACUAAAAAAUUGAAUUAACUUUUUUUAUUAAUUAAACAUUAAUGUAUGAAUAUAUGAUCCAUUAUUUAUGAUUAAAAGAUUAAAUUACCUUAGGGAUAACAGCGUAAUUUUUUUUGAGAGUUCUUAUCGAAAAAAAAGAUUGCGACCUCGAUGUUGGAUUAAAAUUAACUUUUGGUGUAGAAGCUAAAAAUGUUAGGUCUGUUCGACCUUUAAAAUUUU